RNAcentral lists this ribosomal RNA (253 nucleotides) under uncultured bacterium. Its description in RNAcentral is "partial 16S ribosomal RNA". It matches the Rfam family "Bacterial small subunit ribosomal RNA", at positions 524 to 776 of the family's 1533-position model. The record is from RNAcentral.
GACAGAGGAUGCAAGCGUUAUCCGGAAUGAUUGGGCGUAAAGCGUCUGUAGGUGGCUUUUUAAGUCCGCCGUCAAAUCCCAGGGCUCAACCCUGGACAGGCGGUGGAAACUACCAAGCUGGAGUACGGUAGGGGCAGAGGGAAUUUCCGGUGGAGCGGUGAAAUGCGUAGAGAUCCGGAGGAACACCGACGGCGCAGGCAGCGUCCUGGCCGCUUGCUGACACUGAGGCACGAAAGCUGGGGGAGCAAACAGG